Molecule: ribosomal RNA, 253 nt
Filed under: uncultured bacterium
Lineage: Bacteria
Description: partial 16S ribosomal RNA
Rfam family: Bacterial small subunit ribosomal RNA
Source: RNAcentral
UACGUAGGUGGCAAGCGUUGUCCGGACUUAUUGGGCGUAAAGCGCGCGCAGGCGGUCCUUUAAGUCUGAUGUGAAAGCCCACGGCUCAACCGUGGAGGGUCAUUGGAAACUGGGGGACUUGAGUACAGAAGAGAAGAGUGGAAUUCCACGUGUAGCGGUGAAAUGCGUAGAGAUGUGGGGGAACACCAGUGGCGAAGGCGACUCUUUGGUCUGUAACUGACGCUGAGGCGCGAAAGCGUGGGGAGCAAACAGG